UACGUAGGGGGCAAGCGUUGUCCGGAAUCAUUGGGCGUAAAGCGCGUGUAGGCGGUUCGGUAAGUCUGCUGUGAAAGUCCAGGGCUCAACCCUGGGAUGCCGGUGGAUACUGUCGGACUAGAGUACGGAAGAGGCGAGUGGAAUUCCCGGUGUAGCGGUGAAAUGCGCAGAUAUCGGGAGGAACACCAAUUGCGAAGGCAGCUCGCUGGGACGUUACUGACGCUGAGACGCGAAA
Molecule: ribosomal RNA, 235 nt
Filed under: uncultured bacterium
Lineage: Bacteria
Description: partial 16S ribosomal RNA
Rfam family: Bacterial small subunit ribosomal RNA
Source: RNAcentral